AUACGGAGGGUGCGAGCGUUAAUGGGAAUUACUGGGCGUAAAGCGUACGUAGGCGGUUUGCUAAGUCAGAUGUGAAAGCCCCGGGCUUAACCUGGGAACUGCAUUUGAUACUGGCAGACUAGAGUAUGAUAGAGGGGGGUAGAAUUCCUGGUGUAGCGGUGAAAUGCGUAGAUAUCAGGAGGAAUACCAGUGGCGAAGGCGGCCCCCUGGAUCAAUACUGACGCUGAGGUACGAAAGCGUGGGGAGCGAACAGGAUUAGAAACCCCUGUAGUCC
RNAcentral lists this ribosomal RNA (274 nucleotides) under uncultured bacterium. Its description in RNAcentral is "partial 16S ribosomal RNA". It matches the Rfam family "Bacterial small subunit ribosomal RNA", at positions 523 to 796 of the family's 1533-position model. The record is from RNAcentral.